Molecule: unclassified non-coding RNA, 380 nt
Filed under: soil metagenome
Description: partial contains 5.8S ribosomal RNA, internal transcribed spacer 2, and large subunit ribosomal RNA
Rfam family: 5.8S ribosomal RNA (bases 1-120)
Source: RNAcentral
GAUGAAGAACGUAGCGAAAUGCGAUAAGUAAUGUGAAUUGCAGAAUUCAGUGAAUCAUCGAAUCUUUGAACGCACCUUGCACCCUUUGGCAUUCCGAAGGGUAUGCUCGUUUGAGUGUCAUUGUACUCUCACUCUCCCGAUCUUUGGAUCGGGAGUGGUGGACUUGGGUGUUGCUGCUUUACCGUGGCUCACCUCAAAUGGAUUCGUGCAACUCCUCGUUGGACAUAGUACGGCGUGAUAAGUGUCUUCGCCGGCACCUCACUAGAGGGUGGCUGACCGGGAGCUCUGUGCUUCAAACCGUCUUCGGACAACAACUGACAACUUGACCUCAAAUCGAGUAGGACCACCCGCUGAACUUAAGCAUAUCAAUAAGCGGAGGA